AUACGGAGGGUGCGAGCGUUAAUCGGAAUUACUGGGCGUAAAGCGCGCGUAGGCGGUCUGGUCAGUCAGAUGUGAAAGCCCUGGGCUUAACCUGGGAACUGCAUUUGAUACUGCCAGACUAGAGUAUGGUAGAGGGAAGUGGAAUUCCGGGUGUAGCGGUGAAAUGCGUAGAUAUCCGGAGGAACACCAGUGGCGAAGGCGGCUUCCUGGACCAAUACUGACGCUGAGGUGCGAAAGCGUGGGGAGCAAACAGGAUUAGAUACCCCAGUAGUCC
RNAcentral lists this ribosomal RNA (274 nucleotides) under uncultured bacterium. Its description in RNAcentral is "partial 16S ribosomal RNA". It matches the Rfam family "Bacterial small subunit ribosomal RNA", at positions 523 to 796 of the family's 1533-position model. The record is from RNAcentral.